GAUGAACGCUGGCGGCGUGCCUAAUACAUGCAAGUCGAGCGAACAGACGAGGAGCUUGCUCCUCUGACGUUAGCGGCGGACGGGUGAGUAACACGUGGAUAACCUACCUAUAAGACUGGGAUAACUUCGGGAAACCGGAGCUAAUACCGGAUAAUAUAUUGAACCGCAUGGUUCAAUAGUGAAAGACGGUUUUGCUGUCACUUAUAGGUGGAUCCGCGCCGCAUUAGCUAGUUGGUAAGGUAACGGCUUACCAAGGCAACGAUGCGUAGCCGACCUGAGAGGGUGAUAGGCCACACUGGAACUGAGACACGGUCCAGACUCCUACGGGAGGCAGCAGUAGGGAAUCUUCCGCAAUGGGCGAAAGCUUGACGGAGCAACGCCGCGUGAGUGAUGAAGGUCUUCGGAUCGUAAAACUCUGUUAUUAGGGAAGAACAAAUGUGGAAGUAACUAUGCACGUCUUGACGGUACCUAAUCAGAAAGCCACGGCUAACUACGUG
RNAcentral lists this ribosomal RNA (497 nucleotides) under uncultured bacterium. Its description in RNAcentral is "partial 16S ribosomal RNA". It matches the Rfam family "Bacterial small subunit ribosomal RNA", at positions 28 to 507 of the family's 1533-position model. The record is from RNAcentral.